This 353-nucleotide long non-coding RNA is filed under the name Brachypodium distachyon (stiff brome). Its description in RNAcentral is "long non-coding RNA (BDIS_LNC000105)". The record is from RNAcentral. Lineage: Eukaryota; Viridiplantae; Streptophyta; Magnoliopsida; Poales; Poaceae.
UGCCCUCUCACCACACCCCAUCCCCUCUCCUCUCGUGUCCUCCCUGUUCGGUGAUGAAAGCGUAUUCUCACAUAAGUAGUUUUGUUUUUCCUCUUUACUAGCCAUUGGGGUUUGUCCUGUGUGCAGAAAGCCUUGGUACAUGUCUGAUGAGGUUUUGUUGUAAGAGUACUAUUUACAUCGGCAGCAAGUUAGUGUAUGUUGUUUUUUGUUUUUUGUUUUGGGGUUUCUUGUAGCGAUUUGCUAGCUUCCUCUGUUUUAUGCGUGUAGUUCAUAGCUGUUUAAUUUGUCAUGCGUUGUAGUGAUUACUGACGGGGACCCCAACAUCCACUCUUGAAGACCUACACUAUUUGGGA